This 21-nucleotide non-coding RNA is filed under the name Caenorhabditis elegans. Lineage: Eukaryota; Metazoa; Nematoda; Chromadorea; Rhabditida; Rhabditidae. The record is from RNAcentral.
UGUAUAGUUGUCUGAGAACGC